GCCUCCGUAGCUCAAUUGGUAGAGCAGCUGACUCUUAAUCAGCGGGUCGUAGGUUCAAGUCCUACCGGGGGUACCA
This 76-nucleotide transfer RNA is filed under the name Planctomycetota bacterium. Its description in RNAcentral is "Planctomycetes bacterium (activated sludge metagenome) tRNA-Lys". It matches the Rfam family "tRNA". Rfam says of the family: Transfer RNA (tRNA) molecules are approximately 80 nucleotides in length. Their secondary structure includes four short double-helical elements and three loops (D, anti-codon, and T loops). Further hydrogen bonds mediate the characteristic L-shaped molecular structure. tRNAs have two regions of fundamental functional importance: the anti-codon, which is responsible for specific mRNA codon recognition, and the 3' end, to which the tRNAs corresponding amino acid is attached (by aminoacyl-tRNA synthetases). tRNAs cope with the degeneracy of the genetic code in two manners: having more than one tRNA (with a specific anti-codon) for a particular amino acid; and 'wobble' base-pairing, i.e. permitting non-standard base-pairing at the 3rd anti-codon position. The record is from RNAcentral. Lineage: Bacteria; Pseudomonadati; Planctomycetota.